UACAGAGGUCUCAAGCGUUGUUCGGAUUCAUUGGGCGUAAAGGGUGCGUAGGCGGCUCGGUAAGUCGGGUGUGAAAUCUCGGAGCUUAACUCCGAAAUUGCAUUCGAUACUGCCGUGCUUGAGGACUGGAGAGGAGACUGGAAUUCAUGGUGUAGCAGUGAAAUGCGUAGAGAUCAUGAGGAAGACCAGUGGCGAAGGCGGGUCUCUGGACAGUUCCUGACACUGAGGCACGAAGGCCAGGGGAGCAAACGGG
Molecule: ribosomal RNA, 253 nt
Filed under: uncultured bacterium
Lineage: Bacteria
Description: partial 16S ribosomal RNA
Rfam family: Bacterial small subunit ribosomal RNA
Source: RNAcentral